This 204-nucleotide unclassified non-coding RNA is filed under the name soil metagenome. RNAcentral describes it as "partial contains 5.8S ribosomal RNA, internal transcribed spacer 2, and large subunit ribosomal RNA". The record is from RNAcentral.
AACGAGGCCGACCUGCGGCUGAGUUACCUGCGGAAGGAUCAUUACAGAGAUUGAUGCACCAAGUGCAUCACCUCCAACCCCUUGCGAAAACAACUAUCAUGUGUUGCUUUGGCAGUGUUUCCACUGCCAGAGGUUUACAUAAAAUCAGCUGUUGGAUGUUGUCUGAGUAAACUAUAUGAAUUUAAAACUUUCAACAACGGAUCU